This 649-nucleotide long non-coding RNA is filed under the name Capsella rubella. RNAcentral's name for it is "long non-coding RNA (CRUB_LNC002572)". Lineage: Eukaryota; Viridiplantae; Streptophyta; Magnoliopsida; Brassicales; Brassicaceae. The record is from RNAcentral.
UAAAAUGAUCAAAAAUUAUUCAAUUAAUGGGUAAAAUAGUGAGAACCGAUUCUCUAAAGAGAGUCUUCUUUGGCUUGAAGAGGCGCUGACGUGGACGUUUAUAAUUGGUUGGACUGUAAAAUAUAUAAAGGAAAAAAAAACACAAAAGCAAAAAAAUUUCCUCCUUCUUUCUCGACUCUUCUCUCUUCUUUCUCUCUCUCUCUCUCUCUCUCUCUCUCUCUCUCUCUCUCUCUCUCUCUCUCUCUCUCUCUCUCUCUCUCUCCCUCUCUCUCUCUCUCUCAUAGCAAACAGAACAAUCGAAGGCAUGUAACAUUUUCAAAGUUUCUAUAAAGAACUUGCAAUCGAACACAUAUUGUUGAAUUUGUAUAACGUUUCUUCUCUUGCUCUCAAUUUCAACAUUCCCAGUCUUGUUAAAAAUAAAAUUUCUUAUUUUCCAAUUUAUCUUUGCUAUUAUUAAAAAAACAAAAUUAAAUUAAAAUCAAAAUGCAAUUAUUAAAAAAAACAAAAUUAAAUUAAAAAUAAAAUUUCAAGAACCUUUAGGUUCUUACCAUUGGAACACAAUAAAUAUAAAAACCCCAUCACAAACUCUUCAUCUAAAUUUUUUCAAAAUUUAUAUUAAAAAAAGUGGAAAGAACCCACAAUGGGUCUC